RNAcentral lists this transfer RNA (91 nucleotides) under Candidatus Nitrotoga sp. RNAcentral's name for it is "tRNA-Ser". It matches the Rfam family "tRNA". Rfam says of the family: Transfer RNA (tRNA) molecules are approximately 80 nucleotides in length. Their secondary structure includes four short double-helical elements and three loops (D, anti-codon, and T loops). Lineage: Bacteria; Pseudomonadati; Pseudomonadota; Betaproteobacteria; Nitrosomonadales; Gallionellaceae. The record is from RNAcentral. RNAcentral also lists the same sequence under 2 other names.
GGAGAGGUGGCAGAGUGGUCGAAUGCGACAGACUCGAAAUCUGUUGUACGGUUUUCCCGUACCGUGGGUUCGAAUCCCACCCUCUCCGCCA